AUGAAUACCUUAAUAUGGAACUGCCGGGGGGCGGGGAACCGCCGGACAGUUCGUGAGGUGUUGGCCCUCUCUAAAACCAACAUCCCCAAGCUUGUCUUUCUGUGUGAAACAAGGCAAGCAGAUGCGAAGAUGGAGAAGUUACGAUGAAGACUUGGUUUGAAAGGUUUCUGUGGUGUGAGCAGUUCAGGUUUAAGCGGUGGCCUAGCACUUUAUUGGGAUGAACAACUUGUGGUCACUGUU
Molecule: ribosomal RNA, 240 nt
Filed under: Triticum aestivum (bread wheat)
Lineage: Eukaryota; Viridiplantae; Streptophyta; Magnoliopsida; Poales; Poaceae
Description: partial small subunit ribosomal RNA
Source: RNAcentral